RNAcentral lists this ribosomal RNA (465 nucleotides) under uncultured bacterium. RNAcentral describes it as "partial 16S ribosomal RNA". It matches the Rfam family "Bacterial small subunit ribosomal RNA", at positions 29 to 507 of the family's 1533-position model. The record is from RNAcentral.
ACGAACGCUGGCGGUGUGCUUAACACAUGCAAGUCGAACGGUAAGGCCCUUUCGGGGGUACACGCGUGGCGACCGGGUGAGUAACACGUGAGUAACCUGCCCUCAUCUCUGGGAUAACAGUCGGAAACGGUUGCUAAUACUGGAUAUGAGCUUGCAAGGCAUCUUGUGGGUUGGAAAGAUUUUUUUGGUUGGGGAUGGACUCGCGGCCUAUCAGCUUGUUGGUGAGGUAGUGGCUCACCAAGGCUUCGACGGGUAGCCGGCCUGAGAGGGCGACCGGCCACAUUGGGACUGAGAUACGGCCCAAACUCCUACGGGAGGCAGCAGUGGGGAAUAUUGCACAAUGGACGGAAGUCUGAUGCAGCAACGCCGCGUGCGGGAUGACGGCCUUCGGGUUGUAAACCGCUUUCAAUUGUGACGAAGCUUUUUGUGACGGUAGCAGUAGAAGAAGCACCGGCUAACUACGUG